UACCCUUGACAUGUCAAGAAUUCUGCAGAGAUGUGGAAGUGCUCGAAAGAGAACUUGAACACAGGUGCUGCAUGGCC
This 77-nucleotide ribosomal RNA is filed under the name uncultured Leptothrix sp. Its description in RNAcentral is "partial 16S ribosomal RNA". The record is from RNAcentral. Lineage: Bacteria; Pseudomonadati; Pseudomonadota; Betaproteobacteria; Burkholderiales; Sphaerotilaceae.